This is a non-coding RNA of Vicia faba (fava bean), 231 nucleotides long. NCBI's taxonomy places the organism in Eukaryota, Viridiplantae, Streptophyta, Magnoliopsida, Fabales, Fabaceae. The record is from the annotation of a GenBank genome assembly.
AUGUUUCUUGAUUAUGAUGGCACACUUUCAUCUAUAGUAGAGAUCCAAAUUGUGCUUUCAUGUCUGAACCUAUGUGAAAAAAGUCGUGACAAGGUUUUUGAUUUAGUUAAACUAACAGAACUGUACUAUGCCGGUAGUCAUGGGAUGUACACUAUUGUCCCUGUUAGUGACACUAUGUCCAUAAGCCAUCCAAAUUGUGUUAAUUCUACUGACCAUGAGGGAAAGAGAUAA